UACGUAGGCAGCGAGCGUUGUUCGGAGUUACUGGGCGUAAAGGGUGUGUAGGCGGUUUUUUAAGUUUGGUGUGAAAUCUCCCGGCUCAACUGGGAGGGUGCGCCGAAUACUGAAUGACUAGAGUGCGGGAGAGGAAAGUGGAAUUCCUGGUGUAGCGGUGAAAUGCGUAGAUAUCAGGAGGAACACCGGUGGUGUAGACGGCUUUCUGGACCGUAACUGACGCUGAGACACGAAAGCGUGGGUAGCAAACAGG
This 253-nucleotide ribosomal RNA is filed under the name uncultured bacterium. RNAcentral describes it as "partial 16S ribosomal RNA". It matches the Rfam family "Bacterial small subunit ribosomal RNA", at positions 524 to 776 of the family's 1533-position model. The record is from RNAcentral.